UAGUAAUCAAGAAUAGCAGAGAUAACAUCAAUUUUCUUUAACAUCUACAGAAUACAUCUAGUUACAACAGUUUAUAAAUCAAUAAUAAUCCAAACAGAAGGCUGAGUCUUAUAAAAACAAAGUCUUGGGCUGUAGAUGAACUGCCGAUGAAACCAUCUCAAACCAUCUUGAAUCACCGAUUCCUGGAACAGAAAAGUUUGAGAUUUUAGUUUGUGAUGUUAAAACUGAAAUAGAAAUUAGAUUGGAAGUUUGCUGGAAUGAGAUUUUGAAUUGGGAAAUAGAGAAGAGGGAAGGAAGAAGGAGAAGGGGGGAAAUAGCAGUAGCAGCAGCAGCCGCGAGCCACCGCAGCGGAGGCACGGCUGGCGGCGGUGGUCGCCGGCGCCACGGCGGCCGUGGUGGCUACUGACAGCAGAGAGAGAAAUAGAGAGGGAGAUUAAACCAGGGAGAUAGAGAGUGAAAUAGAAAGAGACGGAUAGAACGAGUUGGAGGGAGAGAGGGGAGUGCAGGACGGCGGAGACCACCGACGCUGCAUGCACUGUCGCGGCUCGCAGCGGCCGCCGCGGCCCGACCAGAAAAGAGAGAGAGAUCGAGAUAGAGGAGCAGAGAAAGGAAGAAAGAAAAGGAGAAAGAGAGAUGGGGAGGCUUACCUGAAUCAGAGGGGGUGGCGGCGCGACGAGCACGGCGGCGGCAGUGGCGGAGUUCACCGGAGGAACAAACUUCAGGAAAUUUUGAAACCCUAGAUCUAUUCUAAAUUCAGGAGAAAGAGGAGAAGAAAUGGAAGGAAAGAAAUGGGAAAGAGAAGAGGCCGACCUCGCCGCGCCGGAGGCCGCAAAGGCCGGCGACGCUCGCCGGGAAAGAGAGGGACAGAGAGGAGCGGUAGAGAGCAGAGAGAGAGAGAAAAGAGUUCUGUUCAGAAUAAAAGAGAAUUGAAUGAGUUAAGGAAGAAUAAUUAAAAUGUUUUCUAAAAUUCUAAAUUGCUUAUUAAAUCAGAAAAUAGUUAAUUUAUUUAAUUGGGCUCAGGUUAAUUUUGAGGAGCCUAUUAAUUCUCUAAUGGGCUAAGUUAAGUGACUAUCU
This 1074-nucleotide long non-coding RNA is filed under the name Salvia miltiorrhiza (redroot sage). Its description in RNAcentral is "long non-coding RNA (SMIL_LNC007201)". The record is from RNAcentral. Lineage: Eukaryota; Viridiplantae; Streptophyta; Magnoliopsida; Lamiales; Lamiaceae.